UAAGGAAUAUUGGUCAAUGGAGGCAACUCUGAACCAGCCAUGCCGCGUGCAGGAAGAAGGCCCUAUGGGUCGUAAACUGCUUUUGAACAAGAGAAAACCCCGGUACGUGUACUGGGUUGAUAGUAUUGUUAGAAUAAGCAUCGGCUAACUUCGUGCCAGCAGCCGCGGUAAGACGAAGGAUGCAAGCGUUAUCCGGAUUCAUUGGGUUUAAAGGGUGCGUAGGCGGACUGAUAAGUCAGUGGUGAAAUCUCUCGGCUUAACCGAGAAACUGCCAUUGAUACUGUUAGUCUAGAGUACAGAUGAUGUGGGCGGAAUAUGACAUGUAGUGGUGAAAUACUUAGAUAUGCCAUAGAACACCGAUUGCGAAGGCAGCUCACAAAACUGUAACUGACGCUGAGGCACGAAAGUGCGGGGAUCAAACAGGAUUAGAUACCCCCGUAGUCCCUGAGCGGGCUGGCAAGGCGCAU
This 467-nucleotide ribosomal RNA is filed under the name uncultured bacterium. Its description in RNAcentral is "bacterial SSU rRNA". It matches the Rfam family "Bacterial small subunit ribosomal RNA", at positions 355 to 825 of the family's 1533-position model. The record is from RNAcentral.